Molecule: ribosomal RNA, 1494 nt
Filed under: metagenome
Description: bacterial SSU rRNA
Rfam family: Bacterial small subunit ribosomal RNA
Source: RNAcentral
AGAGUUUGAUCCUGGCUCAGGAUGAACGCUGGUGGCGUGCCUAACACAUGCAAGUCGAGCGAGAAAUUUAUAUUGGAAACUUCGGUUGAAGAUAUAAAUGGAAAGCGGCGGACGGGUGAGUAACGCGUGGGUAACCUGCCCUAUACAAGGGGAUAACAACGAGAAAUCGUUGCUAAUACCGUAUAAGCACACAACAUCGCAUGAUGAAGUGUGAAAAACUCCGGUGGUAUAGGAUGGACCCGCGUCUGAUUAGCUAGUUGGUGAGGUAAAGGCUUACCAAGGCGACGAUCAGUAGCCGACCUGAGAGGGUGAUCGGCCACAUUGGGACUGAGACACGGCCCAAACUCCUACGGGAGGCAGCAGUGGGGAAUAUUGCACAAUGGGGGAAACCCUGAUGCAGCAACGCCGCGUGAAGGAAGAAGGUUCUCGGAUUGUAAACUUCUAUCAGUAGGGAAGAAAAUGACGGUACCUAACUAAGAAGCCCCGGCUAACUACGUGCCAGCAGCCGCGGUAAUACGUAGGGGGCAAGCGUUAUCCGGAAUUACUGGGUGUAAAGGGUGCGUAGGCGGCAACACAAGUCAGAUGUGAAAGCCCGAUGCUCAACAUCGGGACUGCAUUUGAAACUGUGUAGCUAGAGUGCAGGAGAGGUAAGUGGAAUUCCUAGUGUAGCGGUGAAAUGCGUAGAUAUUAGGAAGAACACCAGUGGCGAAGGCGGCUUACUGGACUGUAACUGACGCUGAGGCACGAAAGCGUGGGGAGCGAACAGGAUUAGAUACCCUGGUAGUCCACGCCGUAAACGAUGAGUGCUAGGUGUCGGGGGUCGACAGGCCUUUGGUGCCGACGCAAACGCAUUAAGCACUCCACCUGGGGAGUACGAUCGCAAGAUUGAAACUCAAAGGAAUUGACGGGGGCCCGCACAAGCGGUGGAGCAUGUGGUUUAAUUCGAAGCAACGCGAAGAACCUUACCAAGUCUUGACAUCCCAUUGACCGCUUCGUAAUGGAAGCUUCCUCUUCGGAGGCAAUGGAGACAGGUGGUGCAUGGUUGUCGUCAGCUCGUGUCGUGAGAUGUUGGGUUAAGUCCCGCAACGAGCGCAACCCUUAUCUCUAGUAGCCAGCAAUACGGUUGGGGACUCUAGAGAGACUGCCGGGGAUAACUCGGAGGAAGGUGGGGAUGACGUCAAAUCAUCAUGCCCCUUAUGACUUGGGCUACACACGUGCUACAAUGGUGGUGACAAAGGGAAGCGAAAGAGUGAUCUUAAGCAAACCUCAAAAAAAGCCAUCUCAGUUCGGAUUGUAGUCUGCAACUCGACUACAUGAAGCUGGAAUCGCUAGUAAUCGCGAAUCAGAAUGUCGCGGUGAAUACGUUCCCGGGCCUUGUACACACCGCCCGUCACACCACGGGAGUCGGAAGCGCCCGAAGCCAGUGACUAAACCCGUAAGGGAUAGAGCUGUCGAAGGUGAAGUCGAUGACUGGGGUGAAGUCGGAACAAGGUA